UUUUUUGUUUUGUUUUGUUUUUUGUUUUUUGUUUUUUGUCUUUUUAUUUCUGUGGCCAUCUCAGAUCUUGCUAGUUUUAGCCUGGUCUGGUUAUAAGAGAAUCCUUGCCUGUAAACAUUGUUGCCUUGAGGCCUAAUCUAGUGUUUAUGACAAACACUGUUUUGAGCAUAUAAAGAUGGCGACAGAAGAAACUGCACACAUGCUUUUAAUGUGUGUUGGGCUAAGGGCCCGUGGCUGCAUCCCUCUUCGUCACCUGUGUCUGUCUCUUGUGUGUCUCAGUUUCAUUUCGUGUCUAUUGCGAACUGCCAUGAAACGGGGCGGAAAGCAAAGCCUUGAAACUUGGUGGAAAGGUUCUAACAGCUUGCAUUCAUUUGUAAACAGCAAUAAGCAAAUGCAUGGUGGAAUGGGCCCAUACUCACUCACACACACUCUUCACUAACCUUUCCAGUACGGCAGAUGUGGCUUGGCUCUGGCAGCCCACAGGUGAAUUCGCAUCCAUGUUUCUUGCUUUUCGGAUCCACUGGAGUUAGACCACAGCGGCAGUGCAGGCUUUGUGAUUUGACCAUACCAGACCAGAGUUUUUAAGCUAAAUUCAGCCAAUUACAACUGGGGCGUUCCACACAUAACUUCAUGGGCUCUCUGUAUCAGUCGCACGCACACAAGCUCUCUAUGGAUUGGUUAUCUGGGGCCGAGGGCAAGGUCUGUGGAAUCAUCCCAACUCAUGCUUGGGCAGCAGGCAUGAGUUGUUCUUAUCAUUCACACUCACUCUGGAGCUAUGCCUCGAGUGCAGCCACUGUGGCGGCUUUACAGCAUGGGGAAAAUGCCUUCUGAGGCCAUGUGUUCUUUACAACCUCACAGGCUUUCUGACCUCGCCUUUUUGAUCAUGACAGCCUUCGCGUGAGAUUUUGUGAUUCAAAUGCUUUGACAAGAAAAUCUGCUGCACACAUCUUAUAUUUAAGACAGUCUUCUCUUGAUUCGGAUGUCUUCAUCUGGCCCAAUCUGUCUUCUGGGGAGGUUCAUGCAGUCUUCUACGGCUGGGGAAAGAGCCAUCUAGUCCUUGCCACUGUGCUGGGAACCCAAUGUAGGAAUGGUCAAGAGAAAGCACCUCUUAGCUGCAACCCCAGGCCUCUCCUACACCUCCAGUUCCCACAUACACACUCUCACCAGACAAGAGCACGUCCUAACAGGGCAAGUAUGCAGAUGGAGAAGUUGCAAGGAAACGAGCAGAUGAAACAGUCUUGAUUCUAAUGUGAAGAAAUGCUGUGAUGUUUACAAGUGGGAUCACCAGUGUCCCCUAGGAAGAUCACAGAGAGAGAAAGAAGAUGGAACUAGCAGAGAAUUUGAUAUCCAGCCAAUUCAGAGGGUAAGAGGAGCCAGGCCCUCGGGAUGCUGAGAUGAGAACCUAAUAAAACGG
Molecule: long non-coding RNA, 1414 nt
Filed under: Mus musculus (house mouse)
Lineage: Eukaryota; Metazoa; Chordata; Mammalia; Rodentia; Muridae
Description: long non-coding RNA chr17:85725447-85726861
Source: RNAcentral